Molecule: long non-coding RNA, 520 nt
Organism: Mus pahari (shrew mouse)
Lineage: Eukaryota; Metazoa; Chordata; Mammalia; Rodentia; Muridae
Exons: 6
Source: RefSeq, a predicted model, not a curated record
CCACGGCCUGGCAAGUACCUGUCAAGUAAUAAAUUCAGUCAUUUAGGUAAUUGCAAAGAGCAACAUCGCUGAAGCCUAAGAAGCAGCAGCACCAGGAGGAACAGCAAGAGCAGCAACAAGAGCAACAACAGCAGCAGAAGGAGAGGAGGAGGAAAAAAAAGGAGGAGCAGGAGGAACAUGAAGAUCAGGAAGAGCAGAAGGACCAGAAGGAACAGGAGGAUCAGGAACACCAGGAGGAAAAGAAGACGAAGAAAUAAUGAGUGACUGGUCUAUGUUUAUUUGAAGAGUGUGAUGAGGUGCUUCUUUGGAGAAAUGUGUACUCAAAGAAUUACUCGCGUAGAUUCUGCCCUGGAUGAGGAUGAUAUAAGCAGUAGCACUCCAUUGGAAAAGAAUGAAUUUUGCAUUUCUACAUAGCAGACUCCAGAUACAUGAUCAGCAAUCAGGGUUGCAAUUGCCUUCAGCUCCUCCCUCAACCCUUCUCCUGACUCAUCCAUGGGGUCACUGACUUCAGUCCAGUUGU